Molecule: ribosomal RNA, 253 nt
Filed under: uncultured bacterium
Lineage: Bacteria
Description: partial 16S ribosomal RNA
Rfam family: Bacterial small subunit ribosomal RNA
Source: RNAcentral
UACGUAGGGUGCGAGCGUUGUCCGGAAUUAUUGGGCGUAAAGAGCUCGUAGGCGGCUUGUCGCGUCGGAUGUGAAAACCCGGAGCUCAACUCCGGGCCUGCAGUCGAUACGGGCGGACUUGAGUGUUGUAGGGGAGACUGGAAUUCCUGGUGUAGCGGUGGAAUGCGCAGAUAUCAGGAGGAACACCGAUGGCGAAGGCAGGUCUCUGGGCCACUACUGACGCUGAGAAGCGAAAGCAUGGGGAGCGAACAGG